CAGAUUGAACGCUAGCGGGAUGCUUUACACAUGCAAGUCGAACGGCAGCGCGGACUUCGGUCUGGCGGCGAGUGGCGAACGGGUGAGUAAUAUAUCGGAGCGUGCCCAGUAGCGGGGGAUAACGUACGCGAAAGCGUGGCUAAUACCGCAUACGCCCGUACGGGGGAAAGGGGGGAUCG
Molecule: ribosomal RNA, 179 nt
Filed under: uncultured soil bacterium
Lineage: Bacteria
Description: partial 16S ribosomal RNA
Rfam family: Bacterial small subunit ribosomal RNA
Source: RNAcentral